GGCCAUAGCGGCAGGGAGACUCCUGAACCCUUUCCGAACUCAGAAGAUAAGCCUGCCCACGUUCUGUACUGUACUCAGAUGCGCGAGCUCUCGGGAAAUACAGAUCGCUGCCGU
Molecule: ribosomal RNA, 114 nt
Filed under: uncultured archaeon
Lineage: Archaea
Source: RNAcentral